CCUACGGGGGGCAGCAGUGAGGAAUCUUGGUCAAUGGGCGCGAGCCUGACCCAGCCAAGUAGCGUGAAGGAUGACUGCCCUACGGGUUGUAAACUUCUUUUAUAAAGGAAUAAAGUGAGGCACGUGUGCCUUUUUGUAUGUACUUUAUGAAUAAGGAUCGGCUAACUCCGUGCCAGCAGCCGCGGUAAUACGGAGGAUCCGAGCGUUAUCCGGAUUUAUUGGGGUUAAAGGGAGCUCAGAUGGGGUUUUAAGUCAGUUGUGAAAGUUUGCGGCUCAACCGUAAAAUUGCAAUUGAUACUGGCAGACUUGAGUACAGGUGAGGUAGGCGGAAUUCGUGGUGUAGCGGUGAAAUGCUUAGAUAUCACGAAGAACUCCGAUUGCGAAGGCAGCUUACUAAACUGCCACUGACAUUGAUGCUCGAAAGCGUGGGUAUCAAACAGGAUUAGAUACCCCUGUAGUC
RNAcentral lists this ribosomal RNA (460 nucleotides) under uncultured bacterium. RNAcentral's name for it is "partial 16S ribosomal RNA". It matches the Rfam family "Bacterial small subunit ribosomal RNA", at positions 338 to 795 of the family's 1533-position model. The record is from RNAcentral.